This is an RNA transcript of Drosophila willistoni, 1993 nucleotides long. It is a transcript of the gene named zinc finger BED domain-containing protein 4-like, with no coding region annotated. The transcript has 6 exons. The record is from RefSeq and is a predicted model, not a curated record. NCBI's taxonomy places the organism in Eukaryota, Metazoa, Arthropoda, Insecta, Diptera, Drosophilidae.
AAGAAUGAGUGCAGCGAGCGCGGAUGUAAAAAUGAUGAAAUCGAAUUACUUGGAUCUUAAAAAUGGAACAGCAAAAUGUAAACUAUGUCAAAAAAUUAUUAAAACAAGUGGAAAUUCAACAAAUAUGUCGUCGCACAUAAAAAACAAGCACUAUGACACUUUUGUAAAGUGUAUGCAAAAAAAGGUUUCGAUGAAGUUUCGUGAAAACCAAACAAUUGAACAAUCAUUUCGAAACAUUGAAGCUUUAAAAGACAAUGGACAGAAGGCGAAUGAAAUAUAUGAAGCAAUUGUCUUCAUGAUUUGCAGAGACAACAUGCCUGUCCGGUGCGUGGAGAAAGAAGGUCUAACACACCUUCUUAAGAAAUGUGUCCCGCAAUUUAAAAUGCCUGGCCGGUCCAAGAUUACAACAAUGAUCGAAGAAAAAUACAGCAAAUCAGUGGAUGCUGUUAAAAAGAUUUUAAGCGAAGUGGAGGAUGUCGCAUUCACCUGCGACGCAGUGACUAUCACAAACUCAAGCCGAUCAUUUCUUACAAUAACUGCGCAUUUUAUAAAUAAGGAAUGUUUGGAAUCAAUUUGUUUAAUGGCAGCUAGAAUGGAUCAGUGUUCUGUGAAUUUUGGCCAUUUGUCACUUUGUUGUUAUUUUUACCACCUAAUAUAAGAAAACCAUACAUUUCUCAAAUUUAAUUUAGUCUCAUACCAGUGAGUACAUAAGCUCUUGGAGAAAGCGUGCGACGAUUUUAGCAUUGAUAAGUCUAAGUGUACAACACUGACCACGGAUAAUGCGAAUAAUAUGAAAGCCGCAUCAAGAUAUUUUCUUGGAAAUGGGAAACACAUUCCUUGCUUUGCGCAUACCAUCCACUUAGUGGUAGACGAUUCUGUGAAGGAGAUCGCAUCAUUUUGUAGUAUUUUGGACAAAGUUAAAAAAAUUGUUAUGCAUUUCAAGCACAGUCCUGCAUUAAUGGACGAGCUGCAAAAAGCUCAGGCUGAUGAGGGAAUUCCGGAAGGUUGCAUUAAGACCUUGCAGCAAAGCGUUGACACGCGAUGGAAUUCAUGUCUUGAAAUGCUGGUAUCCUUUUUAAGUCUUGCGAAUAAAGUGGCCAUCAUUUUAAUAAAGAGAUCUGAAAAAGUAAAAGGUUUGCCAGAAAUGCUAUCAACUGAUGAAUUAUCUACUUGCAAGGAUUUUUGUAGCCUUCUGAACCCAUUCAAAGAUGCAACUGAAAAAAUAAGCGGUGAAAAAUAUGUAACUGUCAGCAUGGUGAUCCCGUUAAUUUCACUUUUGCUAAAGAAAAUGCAGAUUGCAAAAGUAGAAUCUGCUGACGGCAUUCUUGCACAAGAUUCUCUUCACAAGCAAUUAGAGAAAAGGUGCAAGCCUCUUGAAUUAAAUAAAGUCUUAGUAAAGUCUUCAUUCCUCGAUCCAAGAUUUAAAAAGAUGUAUAUCUCGCCAAUCGGGGUACAAGAGGCGACUAAAGAUAUUUUACAAGAAUUGAUUACAUUUACUGAAGAAAAACUGAUUUCAGAUGACGAAAAUUCAGAUGACCAAGGUGAUAGCUUGGAAAAGGCGCACAAUAGGUCAAUUGUGAAAGUAGACGGUUCGGAAAAUAGGGAGCUAAAGAUGUAUCUCAGCUUGCCCCAAACUUCGUGGGAAAGUAACCCAAUAAUGUUUUGGAGUUCGUAUAAGGCAGCUAUGCCAGGACUUUCGAAGCUUGCCUUACGAUACCUUACAACCCCUGGUAGUUCAGUGCCUUCGGAGCGACUUGCUUCUGCAAUUAAAUGUGUUGUCUGUGACUCGCGAAGUCGUAUGACGGAUACACAUAAAACAGAACGGGUUUUUUUGAAAUCUUUAAACUCCAAAUACUGGAGUUAAACAUGCCUUUGAAUAUGCAAAAUGACAAAUUCCGUAUUAAGAAAAUCCGUAUUAAGAAAAUGCGUGUGAAGAAAAUCUGUAUUAAGAAAAUGCGUGUAAAGAAAAUCCGUAUUAAGAAAAUAAAUUGUU